GAGUGCCCACAGCUCAGUCUCCAACACCACCUUCACCUCAGUGGCCUUUCUUCCUUAAGUUGCCAUGGGACUUCUGACUGCCUUGUUAGCUGUGGCCGUUUUCACAGAAUCCCAGGCUGUUGUGCUCAGAGAUGAAUCGAGGUCCCAACUGAAUGAGUUAAAAGAGGAGCUCCAGGAAUACAUGCGAAAUAUUAGCAGCGCCGUUUAUGAAAAGCAGAUUCUGUUUCGAAGAUCGGAGCUCAGCAAGCAGUUAGAACGUUACCUUCAGGAUAACGUUUCCCAAAUCAAGAGGCGCUGGAAUAAGCUGCAGAGGGAGCUGCCUGCUGAGAUAGCCGAGGCAUACAACUUAGCGGCCACCGUUCCGAUAGCCGUGGUGAUGAAGACAUACUCCACUCUGACGGAAGUGAGGAAAAAACUGAAUUCUGCCAUGGAGGAACUCUACGAUCUUCUACAUCCCGUUUUGGGCCCCCACGCCACUCCGGUCCUGGAGGUGGUGAGAGCCCAUGCCAAAAUCGUCAGUACCCAACUGCAAGAGGCGGACACAGACCUGAACCAGAAGCUGAAAUCCAACCUGGACGAGUUAGCAACUUGGCUGGUCCCUUAUGCCCAGAGCUUCCGGAGCCAGUGGGGAAAAUACCGGAAGUCCCUGGAACCUUUCACCAACCAAGUGCAGGAACGGCUUGAGCAAGGAGCAGGGGCCACCAAAGGAUCCUGGCAGUCUUAUGUGGCCCCUGUCCAGGUGGCAUUCAGAAAACACGCCAAGGUGAUCUAUGACUUGUUGUUCAGAGAUUAGUGAUUUUCCCACAUGUGAUAUAGUAUGGAACCCUGACCGACCUCUGUAAAGAACAGUGAACAGAAGAACAGAAGAGAAGCCAUGUUGGAUCAAGCCAGUGGCCCAUCCAGUCCAACACUCUGUGUCACACAGUGGCCAAAGAACCACAUCCCAUCAGGAGGUCCACCAAUGGGGCCAGGACACUAGAAGCCCUCUCACUGUGCCCCCCCCCCCAAGCACCAAGAAUACAGAGCAUCACUGCCCCAGACAUAAGAACAUAAGAGAAACCAUGUUGGAUCAGGCUAUGGCCCAUCCAGUCCAACACUCUGUGUCACACAGUGGCCAAAAAACCCCAGGUGCCAUCAGGAGGUCCAUUCGUGGGGCCAGGACACUAGAAGCCCUCCCACUGUUGCCCCCCCAAGCAACAAGAAUACAGAGCAUCACUGCCCCAGACAGAGAGUUCCAACAAUACGCUGUGAACCUCUGCCCCAUAUGCUUAUCCAAUCCCCUCUUGAAGCUGGCUAUGCUGGUAGCUGCCGCCACCUCCUGUGGCAGUGAAUUCAAUGUGUUAAUCACCCUUUGGGUGAAGAAGGACUUCCUUUUAUCUGUUUUAACCCGACUGCUCGGCAAUUUCAUUGAGUGCCCACGAGUUCUUGUAUUGUGAGAAAGGGAGAAAAGUACUUCUUUCUCUACCUUCUCUAUCCUUCUCUCUCUCUCUAGUGGUGAAGAGUGGCAGCCUCUAAUCUAGAGAUCUGGGUUUGAUUCCCCACUCCUCCUCCACAUGAAGCCUUCUGGGUGACCUUGGGCCAGUCACAGUUCUCUCAGAAGUCUCUCACCCCCAACUGCCUCACAAGAUGUCUGGUGUGGGGAAGCCAGCUUGGUGUAGUAGUUCAGAGCGGUGGACUCUAAUCUGGAGAUCCGGGUUUGAUUCCCCACUCCUCCUCCACAUGCAGCCAGCUGGGUGACCUCGGGCCAGUCUCAGCUCUCUCAGAAGUCUCUCAGUCCCACCUACCUUUCAAGGUGUCUGUUGUGGGGAAAGGAAGUAAAGGAGAUCGUUAGCCACUUUGAGACUCCUUGGGGGGGGGGGGGCGGUGUUAUGAAGUGUAUCCCUUGGCAUUUAGGGUUGCAGUUGACGCUUGUAAUUUUUAAUGUCGGUAAUAUCUGCAAGUGCGCAGACCCUUGUCUGGGAGAACUGGGUUUGAUUCCCCACCAGUGUUCCCUCUAAGCUGAGUUAGAGUGAUUUUUAGCCUCCAGCUCACAUCUUUUUGUCUUAGCUCAGAAAGGAUGACCCCAGAGCACACUAAUUGAUGUGGGAGCUCACAGCUUUAAUGCCAGUAGCUCACAAAGUGGAAUUUUUGCUCACAAGACUCCACAGUGUAGAGGGAACAUUGUUCCCCACCCUCCACUUGCAGCUGCUGGAAUGGCCUCGGGUCAGCCGUAGCUCUCAUAGGAGUUGUCCUUGAAAGGGCAGUUGCUGUGAGACCUCUCUCAGCCCCACCCACCUCACAGGGUGUCUGUCGUGGGGGGAAGAGAUAAAGGAGAUUGAAAGCCGCUCUGAGACUCUGAUUCAGAGAGAAGGGUGGGGUAUAAAUCUGCGUUCUUCUUCUUCUUCUGGGGCUGCUUUUUGAGGUGGAGGCACCAAAUUUUCAGCAUAGCAUCUGGUGUGCCUCCUCAAAACAAUCCCCAAGUUUCAAAAAGAUUGGACCAGGGGGUCCAAUUCUAUGAACCCAAAAAGAAGGUGCCCUUAUCCUUUAUUAUUUCCAGAGGGAAGGCAUUUAGAAGGUGUGCAGUCCCUUUAAAUGUGAUGGCCAGAACUCCCUUCGGAGUUCAAUCGUGCUUGUCACAACCUUGCUCCUGGCCCCACCUCCAAAGUCCCCA
RNA transcript from Heteronotia binoei (common prickly gecko), 2650 nucleotides. It is a transcript of the gene named apolipoprotein A-IV-like, with no coding region annotated. NCBI's taxonomy places the organism in Eukaryota, Metazoa, Chordata, Lepidosauria, Squamata, Gekkonidae. The transcript has 4 exons. The record is from RefSeq and is a predicted model, not a curated record.